ACCUUUUUUGAAAAAAACCUGGUAACAUUUUUCACUUCCAAUUCUAGGACAGCAUCAUGCAAUAAGAAAAGUAUGACAGAGGGACCCAUUCCAUUCCCAGCUUGCUCAGUAGCCGGAGAAUGGAAGACAAAGUGUAAAAAAU
This 142-nucleotide small nucleolar RNA is filed under the name Theropithecus gelada (gelada). Lineage: Eukaryota; Metazoa; Chordata; Mammalia; Primates; Cercopithecidae. The record is from RNAcentral.